Paramuricea clavata is the source of this 797-nucleotide non-coding RNA. The record is from the annotation of a GenBank genome assembly. NCBI's taxonomy places the organism in Eukaryota, Metazoa, Cnidaria, Anthozoa, Malacalcyonacea, Plexauridae.
AGCUGAAAGUCUGAAAUUAUAGUUCAGGUAAUGGUUGCACUACAGGAUGGUGUCGUACAUUACGCUGGUUUUCCUUGCAUAGAUCACGGGUCUCCAUAAGUUGUCUUUCUAACUUCAAUACUUUUUUCUUCAAAAAAUCUAGCUCCUGAAAAAUGUUUGUAAUAUCAGGAUGAAUGAUCUUCUGCUCUUCUUGCCUUAUGUCGUGUUCCAAUGAUGCCAUGCUGGUGAGGAAUUGAUCCACGUUCUAUGUAUACAAUAUUUCGAAUUUCCAUGCAACAGCCAAUGUGAUUAUCCAAGGUUGUCUUUCUUCAAGUUCUCUGUUAGAAUGCCGUAUUUGUAUUGAGCAGUCUCUUUUAUAGCCGAGCAAAGCAUCGAGCCGAGUCGAGCAAAGCGUCGAGCCGAACAAAGCGUCGAGCCAAACAAAGCGUCGAGUCAAGCAAAACGUCGAGCAGAGCGUCGAGAGCAUUUUUUCAAACAAAAAUAAAUUUUCUGGAGCCACAUAGCAGAUCACGUAAUUCGGUCAUUGUUUUUUUCUCGAUAUAUUUGCCAUAUACCUUCGUUGUUGGUCGUAUGGACUUAUUGCAUAUCAGACAACGCCUCGUCCGCGUUCAAUGCCGAACUCAACAGUGUUUUCCUAAACUCGUUUACACUACUCCGUACAUCUGUUUUCAACUUUUUUCGAGCAGAGCAAAGCGUCGAGCAGAGCAAUGCGUCGAGCAGAGCAAAACGUCGAGCAGAGCAAUACAUCGAGCAGAGCAAUACAUCGAGCAGAGCAAAGCGUCGAGCAAAGCAAUACA